GAUGAACGCUAGCGGCAGGCUUAAUACAUGCAAGUCGAGGGGCAGCACGAAUAGCAAUAUUUGGUGGCGACCGGCAAACGGGUGCGGAACACGUACGCAACCUUCCUUUAAGUGGGGAAUAGCCCGGGGAAACCCGGAUUAAUACCCCGUAAUAUUAUGAUGUGGCAUCACUUUAUAAUUAUAGAUUCAUCGCUUAAAGAUGGGCGUGCGCCUGAUUAGGUAGUUGGCGGGGUAACGGCCCACCAAGCCUGCGAUCAGUAACUGGUGUGAGAGCACGACCAGUCACACGGGCACUGAGACACGGGCCCGACUCCUACGGGAGGCAGCAGUAAGGAAUAUUGGUCAAUGGACGCAAGUCUGAACCAGCCAUGCCGCGUGGA
RNAcentral lists this ribosomal RNA (380 nucleotides) under uncultured bacterium. Its description in RNAcentral is "bacterial SSU rRNA". It matches the Rfam family "Bacterial small subunit ribosomal RNA", at positions 28 to 405 of the family's 1533-position model. The record is from RNAcentral.